RNAcentral lists this long non-coding RNA (744 nucleotides) under Ananas comosus (pineapple). RNAcentral's name for it is "long non-coding RNA (ACOM_LNC021655)". Lineage: Eukaryota; Viridiplantae; Streptophyta; Magnoliopsida; Poales; Bromeliaceae. The record is from RNAcentral.
AGCUUAGUUUAUAUAUAUAUAUUUUUUUGAGAGAUAGGUAGUACGCUACCCGCUUCGUUUAUUUCAUUUAGAAAUAAACUUAGCUGGAAAUAUGAAUCAACUAGGAUUCGAACUUAGGUCUCGAGUAUCAACCAACAAAUCCUUUACCACUUGCUCUAGGGACGGUCGGUAGCUUAGUUCAUAAUUUUAAUAAAUGAAACAGAUAGCACGCUAUCUUUUUUAAAAAAAAAAAAUAACACGUUAAAGCCAACCAUAUCUAGCGCAGUUAGUUAUGAACUUGAUGGUUGAUAUUCGAAGUUCUAAAUUUGAGAUCUAAUUGCUUUGCAUAUUUCUAGCUUAGUUUAUUUUUUUUAAAAAAAAGAACUAAGUGGAUAGGUUAUUAUUUUUCUCAAAAAAAAAAAAAAACAUGUGGAAGGGGUUUAGCAAAAAUGCUUUAGACUUCGUUUGGGAUUGAGGGGAGACUGCGUUACGUUCGGUGAGAAACGACGAUGAAAAAAUAUUCUAUUUGUUUCCGUACGUAAUAUUACGUUCCACAUAUUGCGAUUAGUCGGUUACGAUAUAUUUUCUACGGUUUCAUCGGAAAACGCAAAAGAAUAUCGUUAUAUGUUUUUUCUCAACUCCAUUCUAUCUAAUAGAAUUAGAUUGAUCUCAAUACCAAACUAAGCCUUAGAUAGAUAUGUAUUAUUACUAAUAUAAAAUCACUGUUAUUCUAAAAACAAUUCUCUCAAAAAAGAAAAUAAUUAU